Molecule: ribosomal RNA, 836 nt
Filed under: uncultured bacterium
Lineage: Bacteria
Description: bacterial SSU rRNA
Rfam family: Bacterial small subunit ribosomal RNA
Source: RNAcentral
AGAGUUUGAUCCUGGCUCAGGACGAACGCUUGUGGCGUGCCUAAUACAUGCAAGUCAAACGCUUUUUCUUUCACCGGAGCUUGCUCCACCGAAAGAAAAGGAGUGGCGAACGGGUGAGUAACACGUGGGUAACCUGCCCAUCAGAAGGGGAUAACACUUGGAAACAGGUGCUAAUACCGUAUAACAAUCGAAACCGCAGUGGUUUCGGUUUGAAAGGCGCUUUUGCGUCACUGAUGGAUGGACCCGCGGUGCAUUAGCUAGUUGGUGAGGUAACGGCUCACCAAGGCAACGAUGCAUAGCCGACCUGAGAGGGUGAUCGGCCACAUUGGGACUGAGACACGGCCCCAACUCCUACGGGAGGCAGCAGUAGGGAAUCUUCGGCAAUGGACGAAAGUCUGACCGAGCAACGCCGCGUGAGUGAAGAAGGUUUUCGGAUCGUAAAACUCUGUUGUUAGAGAAGAACGAGGAUGAGAGUAAAAUGUUCAUCCCUUGACGGUAUCUAACCCGAAAGCCACGGCUAACUACGUGCCAGCAGCCGCGGUAAUACGUAGGUGGCAAGCGUUGUCCGGAUUUAUUGGGCGUAAAGCGAGCGCAGGCGGUUUCUUAAGUUUGAUGUGAAAGCCCCCGGCUCAACCCGGGAGGGUCAUUGGAAACUGGGAAACUUGAGUGCAGAAGAGGAGAGUGGAAUUCCAUGUGUAGCGGUGAAAUGCGUAGAUAUAUGGAGGAACACCAGUGGCGAAGGCGGCUCUCUGGUCUGCAACUGACGCUGAGGCUCGAAAGCGUGGGGAGCAAACAGGAUUAGAUACCCUGGUAGUCCACGCCGUAAACGAUGAGUG